ACGCACGCUGGCGGCAGGCCUAACACAUGCAAGUCGCGCGAGGACUUCGGUUCUAGCGGCGGACGGGUGAGUAACGCGUGGGAAUGUGCCCUUCUCUACGGAAUAGCCCUGGGAAACUGGGAGUAAUACCGUAUACGCCCUAUUGGGGAAAGAUUUAUCGGAGAAGGAUCAGCCCGCGUUGGAUUAGGUAGUUGGUGGGGUAAUGGCCUACCAAGCCGACGAUCCAUAGCUGGUUUGAGAGGAUGAUCAGCCACACUGGGACUGAGACACGGCCCAGACUCCUACGGGAGGCAGCAGUGGGGAAUCUUAGACAAUGGGGGCAACCCUGAUCUAGCCAUGCCGCGUGAGUGAUGGAGGCCUUAGGGUUGUAAAGCUCUUUCAGCUGGGAAGAUAAUGACGGUACCAGCAGAAGAAGCCCCGGCUAACUCCGUG
This 432-nucleotide ribosomal RNA is filed under the name uncultured bacterium. RNAcentral describes it as "partial 16S ribosomal RNA". It matches the Rfam family "Bacterial small subunit ribosomal RNA", at positions 29 to 507 of the family's 1533-position model. The record is from RNAcentral.